Molecule: microRNA, 23 nt
Filed under: Eisenia fetida (common brandling worm)
Lineage: Eukaryota; Metazoa; Annelida; Clitellata; Crassiclitellata; Lumbricidae
Description: Efe-Mir-2691-P1_3p (mature (guide))
Source: RNAcentral
UUUUGCAAUGUUUCACGGUCGGU